This 83-nucleotide small RNA is filed under the name Marmota monax (woodchuck). Lineage: Eukaryota; Metazoa; Chordata; Mammalia; Rodentia; Sciuridae. The record is from RNAcentral.
GCCAGGCGUGGUGGUGCACGCCUGUAAUCCCAGUGGCUCUAGAGGCUGAGGCAGGAGGAUCAGGAGUUCAAAGCCAGCCUCAG